RNAcentral lists this ribosomal RNA (274 nucleotides) under uncultured bacterium. RNAcentral describes it as "partial 16S ribosomal RNA". It matches the Rfam family "Bacterial small subunit ribosomal RNA", at positions 523 to 796 of the family's 1533-position model. The record is from RNAcentral.
AUACGGAGGAUCCAAGCGUUAUCCGGAUUUAUUGGGUUUAAAGGGUGCGCAGGCGGCCUUAUAAGUCAGUGGUGAAAUCUCCCGGCUCAACCGGGAAACUGCCAUUGAUACUGUAAGGCUAGAAUACAGACGAGGUAGGCGGAAUGUAGCAUGUAGCGGUGAAAUGCUUAGAUAUGCUACAGAACACCGAUCGCGAAGGCAGCUUACCAGAUUGUAAUUGACGCUAAGGCACGAAAGCGUGGGGAGCGAACAGAAUUAGAUACCCCAGUAGUCC